This 279-nucleotide long non-coding RNA is filed under the name Elaeis guineensis (African oil palm). RNAcentral's name for it is "long non-coding RNA (EGUI_LNC068186)". The record is from RNAcentral. Lineage: Eukaryota; Viridiplantae; Streptophyta; Magnoliopsida; Arecales; Arecaceae.
CAGGGUCUAAUAGAAAGAAGGACGUUGAGGGAAGGUGACAUGAUCCAUCGGAUCGACAAUGGAGCAAAAGUUGCUGCAGAGACGGUUGACACUUAUCCUCUUCAAUUACCAUCUGAUUUUAGAUUAGAUUUGAAGGACUAUUAUUAUAUUCCUGUAGCUAGUCAAAAUUUAAUUUUUGUAUCUAUGCUAGCAUAGGAAGAUUUCAAAAUUAGUUUCAAUAAAGAUUUUUGUUUCAUUUAUUUAUGAAAUAAAUUGAUUGUAUGAUGUCUUUUAAUUGAC